UACGAAGGGGGCUAGCGUUGCUCGGAAUCACUGGGCGUAAAGCGCACGUAGGCGGUUUCUUAAGAUUGGUCUUAAAGACCGGGGCUCAACCCCGGGAAUGGAUCGAUAACUGGGAGACUGGAGGACGUCAGAGGAAAGUGGAAUUCCGAGUGUAGCGGUGAAAUGCGUAGAUAUUCGGAGGAACACCAGUGGCGAAAGCGACUUUCUGGGACGUUCCUGACGCUGAGGUUCGAAAGCUCGGGGAGCAAACAGG
This 253-nucleotide ribosomal RNA is filed under the name uncultured bacterium. RNAcentral describes it as "partial 16S ribosomal RNA". It matches the Rfam family "Bacterial small subunit ribosomal RNA", at positions 524 to 776 of the family's 1533-position model. The record is from RNAcentral.